UUAAUUCUAGAACAUUCUGGCUGACAUAACAGUUCAACGUCUUUGCUGCUGCUCUUUCUUUUGCUGAUUAGGUUCUCGCAGUGACCUCAGCACUGCGCUGAGCAAUUUUCUUGAGUGGUCACGGUUAAUUUGAUAGCAAUACGAGCCUCCAGCCGGCACCCUCUUAACUCAAAAGCCUGUUUUUAACCUUACUCUUAGACUCUGUCAAGCAGGACGACCACUGAAAACCUCAUCCUUGCCUCAGCUCUUGGUCGCGGCUGUCUCGAGCUCUGAGUUGAGGAGGAUCCCGAGCGUGUGGCGAUGAAUUGGGUGGUGAUCGUUGCUGACAAGCUACAUCUCUAAGUUCUUUCUGAGGCUUGGAGGAAUUGUUCAUCGGCUCCAGCGGCAAUGCUGGAAAAAGAUCAAGCACGUUUUUUUGAGUCAGUGAUUCUGCCCAAUGCAAGGCCGGAAACCUGUUAGGGUGUUCGUGCAACUCAGAUUAGGAGGGACUGGAAAGCAACAGGCAGAGCAAAAUUCCACAACAGCGUGAAAUCCUCAAGAUGCAGAGUCCUCGGGGCUCCACCUCUCCACAGCACACCACUGAGGUUGUACCAAUUGGUGAGCCACAUCCGGUGGGUCACAUCCGGUGGGUCACAUCCGGUGGGCCACAUCCCAUAAAUUCUAAACUUGUUGUUGCUCCUGCCCUGUCCUCGCCAAUACAAGAACCUGUCCAGGACCAGAGAGGUCACUGAUUGUAUCCCAGGUCACACAGCAGAAACCCCAAUUCCUGAGUUCUCCUCUGAAUCCAGCAACCUAGAGCCUCCACAGAACACCAACGGGAAUAUAAAUUAGCAACGCCUUGAGACAUA
This is a long non-coding RNA of Mastomys coucha (southern multimammate mouse), 848 nucleotides long. RefSeq lists it as uncharacterized. The record is from RefSeq and is a predicted model, not a curated record. The transcript has 2 exons. Lineage: Eukaryota; Metazoa; Chordata; Mammalia; Rodentia; Muridae.